This 288-nucleotide ribosomal RNA is filed under the name uncultured bacterium. Its description in RNAcentral is "partial 16S ribosomal RNA". It matches the Rfam family "Bacterial small subunit ribosomal RNA", at positions 775 to 1067 of the family's 1533-position model. The record is from RNAcentral.
GGAUUAGAUACCCUGGUAGUCCGCACCGUAAACGAUGAUUACUCGCUGCUGGGAGGUAACUUUCAGUGGCUUAGCGAAAGCGAUAAGUAAUCCACCUGGGGAGUACGCCGGCAACGGUGAAACUCAAAGGAAUUGACGGGGGCCCGCACAAGCGGAGGAGCAUGUGGUUUAAUUCGAUGAUACGCGAGGAACCUUACCAGGGCUUGAAAGUUAAGGAAUGAUUGUGAAAGCAGUCAGUCAGCAAUGACCUAAAACUAGGUGCUGCAUGGCUGUCGUCAGCUCGUGCCG